CGGGCAUUAGCGCAGGGGUUUAGCGUACAAGUCUGGGGGACUUGGGGUCGGCGGUUCAAAUCCGCCAUGCCCGA
This 74-nucleotide transfer RNA is filed under the name Candidatus Ornithospirochaeta stercorigallinarum. Its description in RNAcentral is "tRNA-Pro". It matches the Rfam family "tRNA". Rfam says of the family: Transfer RNA (tRNA) molecules are approximately 80 nucleotides in length. The record is from RNAcentral. Lineage: Bacteria; Pseudomonadati; Spirochaetota; Spirochaetia; Spirochaetales; Spirochaetaceae.